CCCCCGUCGCGCCCUGCUGCCGCACCGCAUAAUUCGCCGGCACACCACCUGGACAGUCGAGAGCCACCGCCAUCAACAUGCCUGCACCCAGCCGUCAUGACCAACUUCACGACGAUGCCCCUGGCAUCCUGCUCGCCAUCGCCGCCUGCUGGAUCGGACAACCUCACCUUGACGGUAACGUCGACGGCUCGGUCGUGCCCCCACACCUCCCGUGUCUGCGUGUUCGCUGCGCCCGGACGCCCACGCACUGCGCCCUGGAUCUCAACGUGCUGGCUCACCUGAAGGUCAGAUCCCGUCCUUUUUCAUCUCUGCAGCUUCUCGCCGUGCAGACCUCGCCCUUCGCCUCUGACCUCCUCCAGCGUCUUUCCUCCUUUCAACUGGUCGCUUACAACCUUGGCGGUUGCCCAAGGCCACCAUGCUUUGAAAUUAGUCAUUCGUGGCAUAUUAGAGAGACAGACUAAUUACUUUUCCUGUUGUGUUCACUGAAUACAAGUACGUUUCAAAAGGAUUUGGUGUUGCAAGCUUUGGGUGGAUGUGAAUUCGAAGAUGCAGUAUAGGGGUGUUGGCUGACGGCGAGAACUGCACCGAAGUGCACGGUCGCAAAUCUGGUCGGCCUCCUCAGGAUGUGGACAGCAACAAUAGAUGGCUGGACCCCAACCCCUUAUAUCCUGGUGCUAAUUCCUAUUUUUUUAUGGAUUGAACUCUCUAAUCAUCCCAUGAUUUUUGGCUUGGGGGCUGUGCUUAUCAGUUUCAGGCUUAAGUUGCUGGUCAUGCUUGCAGCCAUGUCGCUUGAUGCCUGGAUGGUGUGUACGGGCUGAACGAGUUCACCACACAAAUUCUUGGUAUGCUGCUGUCGUAUACUUAUUAGUACUUACAUAUACAUUUGGCCGAUUUUAUUUUGCUUGGCUUGAAAUAUUAACAGCUUCUUGCUCAUACUAUUACUGUCAACAGCUGGGUAGACUAUACUGCUGUGUGUACUAGAGCUUAGCCGGUGAACUGUAAUAGAAAUUUAUAGAAUGAGUCCCAAGAAGAUGCAAUGUGUGUGUUCAUAUUAUUUAUGUUCUCUGUUCAAUACUACAUGCACUAUCUCUGCUUGAUUUAAAUUCCAUUUUACUUUUGUCACCAAUAGUAGCAUUAAAAUUCAAAGAAAAUUCAUCCGUUUGUUUGUUGGCUUAACAAUGGAUACUGUCAUACAAUCCACUUAAGAAUAUACCAAUUGCUAAGGCUAGCUCUUCCUAAUUCCUUGCGUCACAUAACUACUAGACAGGUCCCGUUUGGUUUUAUUUGAUUUAAGGAUUUGGUUUUCCUUCACUGUAAUGGAUGUGUAAAGCUUUGAAUUUAAUGACCAUGUUUGUUUUGAGUGAAGCU
This is a long non-coding RNA of Triticum dicoccoides, 1368 nucleotides long. RefSeq lists it as uncharacterized. The record is from RefSeq and is a predicted model, not a curated record. Lineage: Eukaryota; Viridiplantae; Streptophyta; Magnoliopsida; Poales; Poaceae. The transcript is spliced from 2 exons.